ACAAGUGGUGAUGAGAGAAAUCAAUCUAAUUAGCGUGUGUGUUAUUGAGCCAUACAGACCUAAUUUAACAUCUCAUUUUCGGUUUGAUGUGCUGUAAUUCGUUUUUUAGUGAGGAUGACUAAUAUAAUACAGCCGUACAGUCCAGAGAGUAAGUAUGCGUCAACAAGAAAAUGUAUUGGGACAUUUGAAUAAGAAUAUCCUCUGAAAAUCAUUGUUUUGAUUCUAGUGUCACUCUAUAACGCUAAAAGCCAACAGCUGUUCAAACCAAUUCACAGAGCUGGAUCGGCAUCAUAAUUAAUGAGCAGUAAUAAAUAAUCCUUGGAGUGAACUUUUACCCCGGACCUCUUCCCUCUGCAACAUGACCUCUGACCUUUGACCCGGCCAGGUAUCGAUCUUCUGGACGGCACGGUGACGGACUCCGUGGAGGCCACAUCUCUGACCUUCAACAACGACGUCAUUGAUGUGGACGUGUGCUGCUGAGGCCCGCGGGACUACGGACAGGAAAUGGCCGGGGACACUCACACAGAAAGCACUGAGGCUGGGCAAGGGGCGAGGUAGGCAGCAUCUUUGUGUGGGCGUCUGGAAAUGGUGGGUUGGUGAACGAUCACUGUGGAGCAGACGGCUAUAUCAACAGUGUCUACAGCGUUGCCGUUGGGGCUGUCACUCACACGGGCAAGUCCGCCUUUUUAGGUGACAGUGUCCAAUCUAGGGGACGGUUGUGUCACCGACUUUGCGGGGACAUCCAGUGCUGCACCCAUCCCGGCUGGGAUUCUGGCCCUUGUCUUGGAGAACAAUCCUGACUUGACAUGGAGGGAUGUGCAGCAUCUGAUCGCCAUGACAGCCAAGGUCCCCGACCCCAAAGAGCCAGGAUGGAGUAUCAACGGAGCAGGGGCUACAGUGGAGAGGGUCGAAAGUUUCACGUUCCUCUGACUGCACAUCACUGAGGAUCUGAAAUGGUCCCUCCACACCAACACCCUGGCGAAGAAGGUGCAACAGCUUCUCUUCAACCUCAGGAGGCUGAGGAAAUUUUGGCGUGGCCCUUAAGACUACAGAUGCACCAUUGAGAGCAUUAUGUCGGGCUGUUUCACCACCUGGUACGGCAACUGCAUCGCCCGCAACCGCAGAGCUCUCCAGAGGGGGGUGCAGUCUGCCUAAUGCAUCCUUGGGGGCACACUGUCUACCCUCCAGGUCAUCUACAGCACCCGGUGUCACAGGCCAAAGAAAUAAUCAAGGAUCUCAGCCACUCGAUCCACGGCCUGCUUACCCUGCUACCAUCUAGCAGUUGGAGACAGUACAGGUGCAUCAAAUCUGGGACCGAAAUAAUAAUAAAAAACAGCUUCUCCAGACUGUUUAACAGCCAUCACUAGCCGGCCCCACCCAGUACCCUGCC
Long non-coding RNA from Oncorhynchus gorbuscha (pink salmon), 1390 nucleotides. RefSeq lists it as uncharacterized. The transcript has 5 exons. NCBI's taxonomy places the organism in Eukaryota, Metazoa, Chordata, Actinopteri, Salmoniformes, Salmonidae. The record is from RefSeq and is a predicted model, not a curated record.